RNAcentral lists this ribosomal RNA (435 nucleotides) under uncultured Lachnospiraceae bacterium. RNAcentral describes it as "partial 16S ribosomal RNA". It matches the Rfam family "Bacterial small subunit ribosomal RNA", at positions 341 to 792 of the family's 1533-position model. The record is from RNAcentral. Lineage: Bacteria; Bacillati; Bacillota; Clostridia; Lachnospirales; Lachnospiraceae.
ACGGGAGGCAGCAGUGGGGAAUAUUGCACAAUGGAGGAAACUCUGAUGCAGCGACGCCGCGUGAGUGAUGAAGUAUUUCGGUAUGUAAAGCUCUAUCAGUAGGGAAGAUAAUGACGGUACCUAACUAAGAAGCACCGGCUAAAUACGUGCCAGCAGCCGCGGUAAUACGUAUGGUGCAAGCGUUAUCCGGAUUUACUGGGUGUAAAGGGUGCGUAGGUGGUUUGGCAAGCCAGAAGUGAAAACCCGGGGCUCAACCCCGUGGAUUGCUUUUGGAACUGUUGAACUAGAGUGCAGGAGGGGUAAGUGGAAUUCCCAGUGUAGCGGUGAAAUGCGUAGAUAUUGGGAAGAACACCGGUGGCGAAGGCGGCUUACUGGACUGUAACUGACACUGAGGCUCGAAAGCGUGGGGAGCAAACAGGAUUAGAUACCCUGGUA